GCCGGGUUUCCGGCGUCAAAAAGCACGGUCCGCCCUUCUGUAGACUGCCAAGAAGGGCAAAGAUGGCUGCUGGAAGUAGAGCAUUUGCCUAGCAUGUGCAGAUCUCUGGGGUCAAUCUCAACGUCGAUGAUGAAGAGGAGCAAGAGGGAUGCCGAUGUAACUCAGAAGAGUGCUUGCCAAGAGGCAGAAAGCCCUUUGUUCCAGUCCCUCCACUGCAUAAGCCAGGCAUUGGCGCACUCCCGUACCCCAGCAUUCAGGCAGGAGGAUCAAGAGUUCAAGGAUGGGGUACAGCUUGCCCUGGAAGUCAGCCUGGAAGGUGUAGAGUAUCCGCAGAUCAUCGGGGCGGUCAGCAUCGAAGAAAGUGAGUUCACCUUGCUCAUAGUGCCUAUCAGCCAUACACCGUGCUCUGGGGACUUGCUCAGCUUGCCCUUGCGGCUGGCCGUGCCCUUGAUGACUCCCAGGCGCCAAUCGCUCUUGCUGCCCACCACCACCUCCCAGUAGUGGCGACCCCAAGAGAAGCCCUUGCUGGCCAGGACACAGGUGCUGUAGUCGAAGCGCUCGGGCUGGCUGGCCCGCCUCUGGGUGCCCUCUAAGUUCCCUAUGUGCCUUUUGGUGCCAUCAAUGAACUGAAAGGGUGACGAUUUGAAGCCUCACCUGGCAGAACUUUCCGGAAGAGUCUCUUCCACACAGUCAGUUUGAUGUCGGCCUGGUGGAGACCCGGCUUGAAGGAUAUCGGGCUGAACGCGCCUUCCAAAGGCCGGGCCUGCUGGACCUCUGCCCUGUGUGCAUGAGUUUCAAUGGUGGGGAGCUCUACAUUAAGGCUGUCUCCCACCCUCCUUCCCCUGUGGGAGUCCACAGAGACAGAUUCACCACUCAGGCCACACAUUCAUGAUACCACCAUCCCUCUCCUCACACCUCCUUCCUAGGAACACGCCUGCUGCCUAGGAUUGGGAUUGUGGAGAGCUGAGGAAGCCCUGAGUGAAUGUGCAGAGUACAGAAGAAGUCUUGAGUGACUAUGAUGGUUGACAUGGGCAUGGCCAGGUCAGAGACCUCGAUGCCUCAGACCCAUGGAAUGGCAAAGCCUUCCUCUUGUCCCAGUACAAAUGUUGUCAGUGUGUAAAAGUCCAAGUGUUCACAAAAGAUUGACCAGUGUAUGCAAAACCUGCAGCUUCCUCCUCCUAGAUGUUAGCAGUUUGAGACUGAGGACCUACAGACACCGCCUACCAACAGUAUGUAAGCCCGACCACCACCCUGCAUAUAUUAUACUGCAUAUAAUAAACAUGCUGAGGUUCCAGGUUGCUUCAUAGUGCAUGCCAUCACCUCAGAGUGUGCUUGUCCCACCUAACACCAGCUUUCCUGUGUGUCUAUGGACUUGCUCUUUCUGCAUUCCUUCACUGCCCAGGCAAGUUUCCAGAACCAAGCCACUCUGGACACAGUGGGAGAUGCUGCAUGGCUGCCCUUACGGAUGGUCUUGGAAGUGUCCUCCACAGGCUCAUGCUGUGAAGUUGGUCCCCAGAUGGUAGUACUAGCAGAAAGAGGUGGGGCCUGGCUGGUGGAAACAGGUCACAGUAGCAGGUCUUUGAAGGUCAUCCCCACCUCUGGCUUCAGCCUUAUCUCUCAACUCCCUAUCUGCCACCACGUGAACAAGCCCACGCUCCCACUGCCAUAAAUACUGUUGAACCUUC
Molecule: long non-coding RNA, 1685 nt
Organism: Onychomys torridus (southern grasshopper mouse)
Lineage: Eukaryota; Metazoa; Chordata; Mammalia; Rodentia; Cricetidae
Exons: 5
Source: RefSeq, a predicted model, not a curated record